GUAGGUGAACCUGCGGAAGGAUCAUUAUUGAAUGAACUUGGCAUGAUUGUAGCUGGUCCUUUCGAGGGCAUGUGCACAUCUGUCAUCUUUAUCUUUCCACCUGUGCACCAAUUGUAGGUCUAAAAAAUUUUCCCCGAGACACUCGGGGGAGCAUGGGGCGUUGCUGUGUGUUACCACCAGCUUGCCCUGCAUUUUCUAGAUCUAUGUUUUCACAUACACCAUAAAAUGUAAUAGAAUGUUAUUAUUGGGC
Molecule: unclassified non-coding RNA, 250 nt
Filed under: plant metagenome
Description: partial contains small subunit ribosomal RNA, internal transcribed spacer 1, and 5.8S ribosomal RNA
Source: RNAcentral